Molecule: transfer RNA, 94 nt
Filed under: Virgisporangium aurantiacum
Lineage: Bacteria; Bacillati; Actinomycetota; Actinomycetes; Micromonosporales; Micromonosporaceae
Description: tRNA-Ala
Source: RNAcentral
CGCCGAGAUCGAGGAGCUGGCGCUGGGCCGCGCCUGCGUCGCGGCCCCGAUCCGCGACGGGUCGGGCGCGGUGGUCGCGGCGCUGUCGGUGUCC